UACGGAGGGUGCAAGCGUUGUCCGGAUUUAUUGGGUUUAAAGGGUGCGUAGGUGGCCUCUUAAGUCUGCUUUGAAAGCUGGUCGCUUAACGAUCAGGGGUGGGUGGAUACUGGGGGGCUUGGAUCAGGUGGCGGUUUCUGGAACGGGUCGUGUAGCGGUGAAAUGCAUAGAUAUGACCCAGAACUCCGAUUGCGAAGGCAGGAGGCUACGCCUGGAUUGACACUGAGGCACGAGAGCAUGGGGAGCAAACAGG
Molecule: ribosomal RNA, 253 nt
Filed under: uncultured bacterium
Lineage: Bacteria
Description: partial 16S ribosomal RNA
Rfam family: Bacterial small subunit ribosomal RNA
Source: RNAcentral